RNAcentral lists this non-coding RNA (791 nucleotides) under Pongo abelii (Sumatran orangutan). Lineage: Eukaryota; Metazoa; Chordata; Mammalia; Primates; Hominidae. The record is from RNAcentral.
GCUAGAUGUGGAAACAGCAAGAGAACUAGAAUUGGAAGUAAAGCGUUGAAGAUGUGACUGAAUUGCUGCAAUCUCAUGAUCAAAUUUGAAUGGAUGAGGAGUUGCUUCUUAGGGAUAAGCUAAGAAAGUGGUUUCUUGAGAUGGAAUCUACUGGUGAAGUUGCUAUGAACAUUGUUAAAAUGACAAAGAUUUAGGAAUUACAGAAACCUGGUUGAUAAAGCAGUGCAAGGGUGUGAGAGAGUUGACUUCAAUUUUGAAAUAAGUUCCACUGGCUGAGUGUGGUGGCUCACACCUGCAAUCCCAGUACUUUGAGAGGCCGAGGCUGAUAGAUCACUUGAGGUCAGGAGUUCAAGACCAGCCUGGCCAACAUGGUGAAACCCCACCUCUACCAAAUUAGCCAGGUUGCUCCUUGAGGGCAGGACAGUUCUUAUGGCUUUAUCUGUUGCUUAAGCACAGAGAGAGGUCUGUGAGGUCAAAACUGUUGUCAUGAUAGCAAGAUGCUUGUCUUUUUCAUUUAUUCUCACAGUGUGCAGAGGCUACAUGAUUUGUGAUGACAUCCUCAUUGUUGUUAAUGAAUGGUGCUAUACUUGAAUUUUCUAAGGUGUCGUUAGGUAGGUUUAGCAAUUCUCCUGCCUCAGCCUCCUGUGUAACUGGGACUACAGGGAAGCACCAUUUUCCACAAAACUCUCAAGAAGGACUUGUUGCAACUGGAAAAGCAAUUAAAUGUGAAUCGUGAUCCAGGAGAAAAUAACAACCCACAUAACUCCCAAAUUAAAAGUUUUCCAAAGAUA